Molecule: ribosomal RNA, 253 nt
Filed under: uncultured bacterium
Lineage: Bacteria
Description: partial 16S ribosomal RNA
Rfam family: Bacterial small subunit ribosomal RNA
Source: RNAcentral
UACGUAGGUGGCAAGCGUUGUCCGGAAUUAUUGGGCGUAAAGCGCGCGCAGGCGGUCCUUUAAGUCUGAUGUGAAAGCCCACGGCUCAACCGUGGAGGGUCAUUGGAAACUGGGGGACUUGAGUGCAGAAGAGGAGAGUGGAAUUCCUGGUGUAGCGGUGAAAUGCGCAGAUAUCAGGAAGAACACCUAUGGCGAAAGCAGCUCUCUGGGACGGUACUGACGCUGAGACGCGAAAGCGUGGGGAGCGAACAGG